Molecule: unclassified non-coding RNA, 455 nt
Filed under: Hevea brasiliensis (rubber tree)
Lineage: Eukaryota; Viridiplantae; Streptophyta; Magnoliopsida; Malpighiales; Euphorbiaceae
Source: RNAcentral
GCCACCCCCUGACUUGAGAGUAUUACUCAACCAGUCCAUGCCCUCAGAGAGGCCUUCACCCUUAACAGCACAUGUCUUGAAGAUGGCCCAUUGGCGAUUUUUUAUCUUGUGCAACUCCAAGGCCUCAGUCACAGCAGCAUCAUCAAGAGCACCAGGGAGGUCCUGCUUGUUUGCAAAAAUGAGGACAACAGCACCUUUCAGUUCUUCCUCCUCCAAAAUCGCAUGAAAUUCUUCUUUGGCUAUUCCAAUUCUAUCAGUAUCACUUGAAUCAACAACAUAAAUCACAGCUUGGGUAUUUGGGAAAUAACAUCGCCAGUAUGGCCUGAUGCUUGUCUGCCCACCCAAAUCCCAGACCUGGAACUUAAUAUUGUUAUACUGUACAGUUUCCACAUUGAAUCCAAUUGUUGGGAUCGUGGAGACUACUUCGCCCAUUUGAAGCCGAUAGAGGAUGGUGG